GAGGGAGUAUGAAAUAAGAUAAAACAACUGGUGUUCAAAGAAAGGGCAUAAAGAAGAAGAAAGGGAGAUCUAUUUGAUCUGUGGAUCUUUGAUUGUGAAGAGUAAUGGCGAAGGUGGAGUUAAACGGAGACGAUUCAAAGCAGACAAAGAAGGUGGUGAAUAGAAAUCACGGAUCCACCAAAUUCUUUGUCUUUAUAGAUUAUCUUUUCCUCUUCGUAUUCUUCUGUUUCCUAUGCUACAUUCUAUUCAAAAUAGCGGGACUUUGAUCUAUUCAGGUUAACUAUAAGCUAUAUCCAGAUCAAGAGAGUCCAAGCUCUUGCGACACAACUGCUGGUUUUAUUCCAGUUUAGAGAUUGUUUUCUUCUUAGACUGAGAUAUCUAGAGGGAAUGAAGUCUUCACAGUACUCGCGAUAUAUGUCAAAAUUCUUCUGUGCCACAUGACUUACCUAUUUAAUGUACUUGAUAUAUAUAACAUUUAGUUCUUUUAAUCACACAAUUUAUAUGUCGAUACAACACUUAAGUUCUGAUGCUCAAUUGACAAUUAUUACUAUCUGAAAUCAUCUUCAUUCUUUUCAA
Solanum tuberosum (potato) is the source of this 576-nucleotide long non-coding RNA. RefSeq lists it as uncharacterized. The transcript is spliced from 2 exons. Lineage: Eukaryota; Viridiplantae; Streptophyta; Magnoliopsida; Solanales; Solanaceae. The record is from RefSeq and is a predicted model, not a curated record.